RNAcentral lists this ribosomal RNA (440 nucleotides) under uncultured bacterium. RNAcentral describes it as "bacterial SSU rRNA". It matches the Rfam family "Bacterial small subunit ribosomal RNA", at positions 355 to 787 of the family's 1533-position model. The record is from RNAcentral.
UAGGGAAUCUUCCGCAAUGGACGAAAGUCUGACGGAGCAACGCCGCGUGAGCGAAGAAGGUCUUCGGAUCGUAAAGCUCUGUUGUUAGGGAAGAACAAGUACCGGAGUAACUGUCGGUACCUUGACGGUACCUAACCAGAAAGCCACGGCUAACUACGUGCCAGCAGCCGCGGUAAUACGUAGGUGGCAAGCGUUGUCCGGAAUCAUUGGGCGUAAAGCGCGCGCAGGCGGUCCUUUAAGUCUGAUGUGAAAUCUUGCGGCUCAACCGCAAGCGGUCAUUGGAAACUGGGGGACUUGAGUGCAGGAGAGGAAAGCGGAAUUCCAUGUGUAGCGGUGAAAUGCGUAGAGAUAUGGAGGAACACCAGUGGCGAAGGCGGCUUUCUGGCCUGUAACUGACGCUGAGGCGCGAAAGCGUGGGGAGCAAACAGGAUUAGAUACCC